UGCAGUCGAGGGGCAGCAUCAUCAAAGCUUGCUUUGAUGGAUGGCGACCGGCGCACGGGUGAGUAACACGUAUCCAACCUGCCGACAACACUGGGAUAGCCUUUCGAAAGAAAGAUUAAUACCGGAUGGCAUAGUUUUCCCGCAUGGGAUAAUUAUUAAAGAAUUUCGGUUGUCGAUGGGGAUGCGUUCCAUUAGGCAGUUGGCGGGGUAACGGCCCACCAAACCUACGAUGGAUAGGGGUUCUGAGAGGAAGGUCCCCCACAUUGGAACUGAGACACGGUCCAAACUCCUACGGGAGGCAGCAGUGAGGAAUAUUGGUCAAUGGACGAGAGUCUGAACCAGCCAAGUAGCGUGAAGGAUGACUGCCCUAUGGGUUGUAAACUUCUUUUAUACGGGAAUAAAGUGAGCCACGUGUGGCUUUUUGUAUGUACCGUAUGAAUAAGGAUCGGCUAACUCCGUGCCAGCAGCCGCGGUAAUACGGAGGAUUCGAGCGUUAUCCGGAUUUAUUGGGUUUAAAGGGAGCGUAGGCGGGUUGUUAAGUCAGUUGUGAAAGUUUGCGGCUCAACCGUAAAAUUGCAGUUGAUACUGGCGACCUUGAGUGCAACAGAGGUAGGCGGAAUUCGUGGUGUAGCGGUGAAAUGCUUAGAUAUCACGAAGAACUCCGAUUGCGAAGGCAGCUUACUGGAUUGUAACUGACGCUGAUGCUCGAAAGUGUGGGU
RNAcentral lists this ribosomal RNA (719 nucleotides) under uncultured bacterium. RNAcentral's name for it is "bacterial SSU rRNA". It matches the Rfam family "Bacterial small subunit ribosomal RNA", at positions 56 to 766 of the family's 1533-position model. The record is from RNAcentral.